AUUGAACGCUGGCGGCAUGCCUUACACAUGCAAGUCGAACGGCAGCGGACCUUCGGGUGCCGGCGAGUGGCGAACGGGUGAGUAAUAUAUCGGAACGUACCUUUCAGUGGGGGAUAACGUAGCGAAAGUUACGCUAAUACCGCAUAUUCUGUGAGCAGGAAAGCAGGGGAUCGCAAGACCUUGCGCUGAUUGAGCGGCCGAUAUCAGAUUAGCUAGUUGGUGAGGUAAAGGCUCACCAAGGCGACGAUCUGUAGCGGGUCUGAGAGGAUGAUCCGCCACACUGGAACUGAGACACGGUCCAGACUCCUACGGGAGGCAGCAGUGGGGAAUUUUGGACAAUGGGCGCAAGCCUGAUCCAGCCAUGCCGCGUGGGUGAAGAAGGCCUUC
RNAcentral lists this ribosomal RNA (387 nucleotides) under uncultured bacterium. RNAcentral describes it as "bacterial SSU rRNA". It matches the Rfam family "Bacterial small subunit ribosomal RNA", at positions 30 to 419 of the family's 1533-position model. The record is from RNAcentral.